AAUACUAUUUUAAAAAAUUUUAAUAAUAAAAUAUUAAAUAUAGUUCUUAACUGAGAGGAAAAAAAAAAAGAGCGAAGAGCGACAGUAGAAGGGUUGAAGAAAAGGUUUGGUUGUCGGUGUACAGAGGGCUCCGCUGCCUUUUGAUAGUGGCAGCUCCUAUUUGUGUUUUGAGAAUCGUAGGUAAGUGCAGCGCUUUGCUUUUGAACAUCUUUUUUUGUUGUUUUGAGUUGUUGUGAGGGUCUGUCUUUUGGGCUUUGGCUGCGAGGCAUUUAUCGGAAUAUGGUCAGAGAUCAGUGAUAAUCCUCGUGUUUGUAUUCCUUCAGACUAUAUUAGACUGAAAUUGUUAUGGGUUGAUCUCUGAUCUGUGAAUUGCGUUAUUGUACACAG
Molecule: long non-coding RNA, 387 nt
Filed under: Manihot esculenta (cassava)
Lineage: Eukaryota; Viridiplantae; Streptophyta; Magnoliopsida; Malpighiales; Euphorbiaceae
Description: long non-coding RNA (MESC_LNC008890)
Source: RNAcentral